CCCCCUUACCUAUAAGGGGACAUCUCCAGAGCAGCGCGUCUGUGCGUGUGUCCAGAUUCAAAGUGGAAAAGCACGGCCCCUGGUUGCCACCUGUGUCCUCAAGCAUGUGACGAAUGCUUGAGCCCCUAAGUGCCCUUGAGGUGUGGCUGCCAGAGUCAGGGCUUCAAUGGUGCUGUUACUCAUUGCUUCAGCGGCACUGGAGAAUGCCUGUUACCUCCCCGCUUACCUGGGCUGUUUUAAAAAUCAGUGUUCAAGGCUGAAAGGAGAUGUAAAUUAUAGAAUUAUUAUGAAAAGAAACAAGCUUGAACUCCGACACUAGUCAUCGGCCUCAGCCGCCAGAGGCAUGUCUUAGCUUCAUUGUAAAAGAUAUAGUCUGUCUAUUUUUAUGCUUUGGGGGAGGGGAGGCUAUUAUGUGCUUUUUUUUUUUGUUUUUUUGAUAACCGUGUGUAGAGAUCUUAUUAAGUGAUUUUCUACAUUAAAAAGAUUGGAAG
RNAcentral lists this long non-coding RNA (491 nucleotides) under Rattus norvegicus (Norway rat). RNAcentral describes it as "long non-coding RNA NONRATT010494". The record is from RNAcentral. Lineage: Eukaryota; Metazoa; Chordata; Mammalia; Rodentia; Muridae.